UAGGCUGAAACUACGCCUACAUGAAGCUGGAGUUGCCNGUAAUCGCGAAUCAGCAUGUCGCGGUGAAUACGUUCCCGGGCCCUUGUACACACCGCCCGUCACACCAUGAGAGUUGGCAAUACCCAACGUACGUGAUCUAACCCGCAAGGGAGGAAGCGUCCUAAGGUAGGGUCAGCGAUUGGGGUGAAGUCGUAACAAGGUAUC
Molecule: ribosomal RNA, 204 nt
Filed under: uncultured bacterium
Lineage: Bacteria
Description: partial 16S ribosomal RNA
Rfam family: Bacterial small subunit ribosomal RNA
Source: RNAcentral